GACGUAGGGCGCGAGCGUUGUCCGGAUUUAUUGGGCGUAAAGAGCUCGUAGGCGGUCUGUCGCGUCGGUCGUGAAAACUUGGGGCUUAACCCUGAGCUUGCGGUCGAUACGGGCAUGACUGGAGUUCGGCAGGGGAGACUGGAAUUCCUGGUGUAGCGGUGAAAUGCGCAGAUAUCAGGAGGAACACCGGUGGCGAAGGCGGGUCUCUGGGCCGAUACUGACGCUGAGGCGCGAAAGCGUGGGGAGCAAACAGG
This 254-nucleotide ribosomal RNA is filed under the name uncultured bacterium. Its description in RNAcentral is "partial 16S ribosomal RNA". It matches the Rfam family "Bacterial small subunit ribosomal RNA", at positions 524 to 776 of the family's 1533-position model. The record is from RNAcentral.